GCCGCGAAUUCGCCCUUCGGAGAGGGAGCAUGAGAAACCCUUACAAGAUCCAAGGAAGGCAGCAGGCGCGCAAAUUACCCAUUCCCGACACGGGGAGGUAGUGACAAUAUGUAACAAUAUACGGCUUUAUUGUCGUAUAAUUGGAAUGAGUACAAUUUAAAUCCCUUAACGGGGAACAAUUGGAGGGCAAGUCUGGUGCCAGCAGCCGCGGUAAUUCCAGCUCCAAUAGCGUAUAUUAAAGUUGUUGCAGUUAAAAAGCUCGUAGUUGGACCUUGGGCCUGGACAGGCGGUCCGCCUCACGGCGUGUACUGUCUUGCUGGGCCUUUCCUCUUGGUGAUCUGUGGUUUCGGCCGCAGGGAACCAGGACCUUUACUUUGAAAAAAUUAGAGUGUUCAAAGCAGGCUUUACGCCAGAAUAUAUUAGCAUGGAAUAAUAAAAUAGGACGUGCGGUUCUAUUUUGGUGGUUUUUGGGAUCGCCGUAAUGAUUAAGAGGGACAGUCCGGGGCAUUAGUACUCACAUGCUAUAGGUGAAAUUCUUGGAUUUCGUGAAGACUAACUUCUGCGAAAGCAUUUGUCAAGGAUGUUU
This 586-nucleotide ribosomal RNA is filed under the name uncultured organism. RNAcentral's name for it is "SSU rRNA". It matches the Rfam family "Eukaryotic small subunit ribosomal RNA", at positions 359 to 969 of the family's 1831-position model. The record is from RNAcentral.